Molecule: long non-coding RNA, 1998 nt
Organism: Mobula hypostoma (lesser devil ray)
Lineage: Eukaryota; Metazoa; Chordata; Chondrichthyes; Myliobatiformes; Myliobatidae
Exons: 4
Source: RefSeq, a predicted model, not a curated record
CAGACCUCACCAUUUUUCUCUUUCACUAACUUAUUUUUAUUACACAUAUAUCAUUGUAAUGUGUGUGUCAGAUGGUGGCUGUGAUGCUCAGUGUGGUAUUGUAGUAGGAGGUGCUCGUCUCUCUCACUUCCAGCUUGCAGCGCUGGCUGGCAGUCUUGCGAAAAGGAGGGCCGAGUCUGUAAGUCUCUGACGGUGGGUCUCGGCCCGAAACGUUGACUGAUCGUUUCCACGGAUGCUGAGUUCCUCCGGCGUGUUGUGAGUGUUGCUUUAGCCCCAGCAUCUGCGGUGUCUCUCCCUGCCGGUACACAGCCCGUCUCUCCGGCGGCAAGCCGCACGUCGUGCCUCCCCGCUGGCGACACGCUCGAACUGAGCCCCCCAUCAGAGUCCGGCUGAGCUGCAGAGGACGGGGAGGGGGUCCGGCCCCUGCACACACACAGCAUGCCAGCCCACCCCCUGGCGCCAGCUAGGGGUAAACAGCCCCGCUGUCUUACGGGAGAGACGAGGGCUACGGGAGUGAACCCAGACGGCAAAUCCGGAGCGGAGCCCCUCAGGCGGCUGGACGUCAGUGAACAUCCUCCCGGCAACUCCGGCAGCCGAGCCGGUGCCAAACACAGUGAUACACUGGACAGUGGUGAGGCCGAGAGGGCAUCUCAGGAUCGCCACACCUUCCACCCAGGCUUGUGCCCCGGAGAGGUCACUCCAUCGUCCUCCCAGACAGCCGGAUGCCAUUCCGUCAUCCUCAUUGUAAUUUAUAUUUAGUGUUUUGCCCUGCAGCGCUGCCGCAAAGUAACACAUUUCGUGGCAUAUGUCGGAGAUAAACCUGAUUCUGAUUCAUGCUCCCCGUUGCCAUGGUUGCCGGAAUGUUUGUUUCCCCGUUGCUAGGGAUCCCCAUUCAUGGCGUGGCUGCUGAGGGGGUGAGCCACGCUCUUUCAUUCCUGCUCCCUUAGCGGUGAUACCGACGAUUACUCCGGGCGAAUGGGAAGCACCGCACACAUGAUGCGUUGCCUGGGCUGCAGCAAUUUCAAAUUUGACUUUGUUCCGUACGGUUGCCGCUGCAGGCAUGAGAAGAGAGAGUCUGUGAUUGGAAAUCCCGUGGAUGUUAUUGAUUGGUGUUGCCUGCACCACCAGUGCUGUUACAAGUCAUGGCAUGGAGAAGGCUGCCACGCACUGACCCACUACAGGUGGAGCUGUGUUGCUGGGAAUGUACACUGUUCGUCAGGUCAGAGGAAAGACUUGUGCCACGUGGCCAGGCGUAAGUGUGACUGUCAGCUGGCACUCUGUCUGUUUCCAUUCCCAGUCUGGGAGAAGUACAGGAACCACUCCCUGAAGAACUGUUCCAGAAAUAACCAGUGCUUUGUUCCCAGAUAAACAGGGGUGGAAGCAAAAUAAAGGAUUUACAAAACUGUAUCAAGUUUAUUGUCAUUCAACCAAGUGUACAGCUAAAUGUAUACACGUAUACUAUACAUGCUGUCCCACCAAGAAACCUUAUUGGAUGAGGAUCAGGAGGGACAGAUGAUGGGGGUAUAAAUACCACGGGACUAGGCAUGCCCAGGCAACAUCCCUGAUAAAGAUGGCAGAGUUUGUCAUCACAACAUUGGUUAAAACCGAUACAGGUAACCGGCUGGGAGCCUGAGAAGAGUUUGUUCAUCAUAUACACCAGGAAAGCACUAGAUCCUUUUUCAAAACAUACUGUGUUAGAAUCACAGUGCACACAGUCACACACAGCACGUACAGUUACGAUAAAGCGUAAUACACUCACAAAAUAAUACUAGCAUAACUACCUGACUAUCACAGCCCACCCAGUAUUCAGUUUGCGUUCUGCCUCAGAGAGACGAUGAGGAGUUGAAAUCUGAUCAAAACCUGAAGAAGGUCAUUGGCUAUGUGGUACAGUCUGAAUUGAACAGUCAGGAGUUCAUAGGCAAUUCCAUCCUCUGACAUUCAUUGACAAGCACGACUUACGGAGGAAGGAAAAGGGGCUGGGGAAGGUGGGAUGGGGAG